AGGUGUGGGGGACAUUCCACGUUUUCCGCGCCGUAGCUAACGCAUUAAGUGCCCCGCCUGGGGAGUACGGCCGCAAGGCUAAAACUCAAAGGAAUUGACGGGGGCCCGCACAAGCGGCGGAGCAUGCGGAUUAAUUCGAUGCAACGCGAAGAACCUUACCAAGGCUUGACAUACACCGGACCGCCCUAGAGAUAGGGUUUCCCUUCGGGGCUGGUGUACAGGUGGUGCAUGGUUGUCGUCAGCUCGUGUCGUGAGAUGUUGGGUUAAGUCCCGCAACGAGCGCAACCCUUGUCCUAUGUUGCCAGCACGUAAUGGUGGGGACUCAUGGGAGACUGCCGGGGUCAACUCGGAGGAAGGUGGGGAUGACGUCAAAUCAUCAUGCCCCUUAUGUCUUGGGCUUCACGCAUGCUACAAUGGCCGGUACAGUGGGUUGCGAUACUGUGAGGUGGAGCUAAUCCCUAAAAGCCGGUCUCAGUUCGGAUCGAAGUCUGCAACUCGACUUCGUGAAGUUGGAGUCGCUAGUAAUCGCAGAUCAGCAAUGCUGCGGUGAAUACGUUCCCGGGCCUUGUACACACCGCCCGUCAAGUCACGAAAGUUGGUAACACCCGAAGCCGGUGGCCCAACCCUUGUGGGGGGAGCCGUCGAAGGUGGGGCUG
RNAcentral lists this ribosomal RNA (656 nucleotides) under uncultured bacterium. Its description in RNAcentral is "bacterial SSU rRNA". It matches the Rfam family "Bacterial small subunit ribosomal RNA", at positions 818 to 1470 of the family's 1533-position model. The record is from RNAcentral.